GCAUGGCAGACGGGUGAGUAACGCGUAGGGAAUCUACCUUUUUGUGGGGAAUAACGCUCCGAAAGGAGUGGUAAUACCGCAUGAGACCGCAGACUGGGAUGUUUGUGGUGAAACCUGGGGACCGCAAGGCCUGGGGCAAGAAGAGGAUCCUGCGUCUGAUUAGCUAGUUGGCGGGGUAAUGGCCCACCAAGGCGACGAUCAGUAGCCGGCCUGAGAGGGUGAUCGGCCACACUGGAACUGAGACACGGUCCAGACUCCUACGGGAGGCAGCAGUGGGGAAUUUUGCGCAAUGGACGAGAGUCUGACGCAGCAACGCCGCGUGGGUGAUGAAGGUCUUCGGACUGUAAAACCCUGUCGUCAGGGACGAAGGUAUGGGAGUUAAUAGCUCUUAUGCUUGACGGUACCUGGAGAGGAAGCCCCGGCUAACUCUGUGCCAGCAGCCGCGGUAAUACAGAGGGGGCAAGCGUUAUUCGGAAUUAUUGGGCGUAAAGGGCGCGUAGGCGGCUUUUUAAGUGAGAUGUGUAAUCCCUGAGCUCAACUUGGGAACUGCAUCUCAUACUGGGAGGCUAGAGUACUGG
This 578-nucleotide ribosomal RNA is filed under the name uncultured bacterium. RNAcentral's name for it is "bacterial SSU rRNA". It matches the Rfam family "Bacterial small subunit ribosomal RNA", at positions 93 to 652 of the family's 1533-position model. The record is from RNAcentral.